UACGAAGGGGACUAGCGUUGUUCGGAAUUACUGGGCGUAAAGCGCACGUAGGCGGAUAGCUAAGUCAGGGGUGAAAUCCCGGGGCUCAACCUCGGAACUGCCUUUGAUACUGACAAUCUCGAGUCCGAUAGAGGUGGGUGGAAUUCCUAGUGUAGAGGUGAAAUUCGUAGAUAUCCGGAAGAACACCGGUGGCGAAGGCGGUCUGCUGGGCAGUAGCUGACACUGAGGCGCGACAGCGUGGGGAGCAAACAGG
Molecule: ribosomal RNA, 253 nt
Filed under: uncultured bacterium
Lineage: Bacteria
Description: partial 16S ribosomal RNA
Rfam family: Bacterial small subunit ribosomal RNA
Source: RNAcentral